GACGAACGCUGGCGGCGUGCUUAACACAUGCAAGUCGAACGGAAAGGCCCUGCUUUUGUGGGGUGCUCGAGUGGCGAACGGGUGAGUAACACGUGAGUAACCUGCCCUUGACUUUGGGAUAACUUCAGGAAACUGGGGCUAAUACCGGAUAGGAGCUCCUGCUGCAUGGUGGGGGUUGGAAAGUUUCGGCGGUUGGGGAUGGACUCGCGGCUUAUCAGCUUGUUGGUGGGGUAGUGGCUUACCAAGGCUUUGACGGGUAGCCGGCCUGAGGGGGUGACCGGCCACAUUGGGACUGAGAUACGGCCCAGACUCCUACGGGAGGCAGCAGUGGGGAAUAUUGCACAAUGGGCGGAAGCCUGAUGCAACAACGCCGCGUGCGGGAUGACGGCCUUCGGGUUGUAAACCGCUUUCGCCUGUGACGAAGCGUGAGUGACGGUAAUGGGUAAAGAAGCACCGGCUAACUACGUG
This 468-nucleotide ribosomal RNA is filed under the name uncultured bacterium. RNAcentral's name for it is "partial 16S ribosomal RNA". It matches the Rfam family "Bacterial small subunit ribosomal RNA", at positions 28 to 507 of the family's 1533-position model. The record is from RNAcentral.